Molecule: long non-coding RNA, 260 nt
Organism: Enhydra lutris kenyoni (northern sea otter)
Lineage: Eukaryota; Metazoa; Chordata; Mammalia; Carnivora; Mustelidae
Exons: 3
Source: RefSeq, a predicted model, not a curated record
UUAAUUGGGGAUAUCUACCUGAACAAAUCUCCUUUAAGAAAUUUUAAAAUCCAUAGCCUGGAUAUGAAAACUAAAUUUAUACAAAGGGACCUUCCUAACAUCUGGAAACCAGCUGUAUUCAAACAUCGGGGCCCUGCCUUCUUCCUCGGUAUCCUGAGAAUAGGUAAUGACCCCAGAGACACCUUCAUAAAAAUGGAGGGCUGGACAAAAGGUGUAAUAUUCAUCAAUGGAAAGAAUCUGGGACGCUACUGGAAUAUAGG